This 484-nucleotide ribosomal RNA is filed under the name uncultured bacterium. RNAcentral describes it as "partial 16S ribosomal RNA". It matches the Rfam family "Bacterial small subunit ribosomal RNA", at positions 30 to 507 of the family's 1533-position model. The record is from RNAcentral.
AUUGAACGCUGGCGGCAGGCCUAACACAUGCAAGUCGAGCGGAUGAAGGGAGCUUGCUCCUGGAUUCAGCGGCGGACGGGUGAGUAAUGCCUAGGAAUCUGCCUGUUAGUGGGGGAUAACGUCCGGAAACGGGCGCUAAUACCGCAUACGUCCUUAGGGAGAAAGUGGGGGAUCUUCGGACCUCCCGCUAUCAGAUGAUCCUAGGUCGGAUUAGCUAGUUGGUGGGGUAAAGGCCUACCAAGGCGACGAUCCGUAACUGGUCUGAGAGGAUGAUCAGUCACACUGGAACUGAGACACGGUCCAGACUCCUACGGGAGGCAGCAGUGGGGAAUAUUGGACAAUGGGCGAAAGCCUGAUCCAGCCAUGCCGCGUGUGUGAAGAAGGUCUUCGGAUUGUAAAGCACUUUAAGUUGGGAGGAAGGGCAGUAAGUUAAUACCUUGCUGUUUUGACGUUACCAACAGAAUAAGCACCGGCUAACUUCGUG